AUCGCUUCUCGGCCUUUUGGCUAAGAUCAAGUGUAGCAAAAAGACCUCAGACAUUUGUUUAUUGGAAAGAGCACAAAUUAGGUUUAAAUCUUAGCUUUACCACUUACCAUUUGAUUUUGAACAUUUAUGAGUGUUUAGCUAAAUUUUU
This 148-nucleotide small nuclear RNA is filed under the name Fukomys damarensis (Damara mole-rat). RNAcentral's name for it is "U2 spliceosomal RNA". It matches the Rfam family "U2 spliceosomal RNA". Rfam says of the family: U2 is a small nuclear RNA (snRNA) component of the spliceosome (involved in pre-mRNA splicing). Complementary binding between U2 snRNA (in an area lying towards the 5' end but 3' to hairpin I) and the branchpoint sequence (BPS) of the intron results the bulging out of an unpaired adenosine, on the BPS, which initiates a nucleophilic attack at the intronic 5' splice site, thus starting the first of two transesterification reactions that mediate splicing. Lineage: Eukaryota; Metazoa; Chordata; Mammalia; Rodentia; Bathyergidae. The record is from Rfam by way of RNAcentral.